This 73-nucleotide transfer RNA is filed under the name Phycisphaera sp. TMED9. Its description in RNAcentral is "tRNA-Gly". It matches the Rfam family "tRNA". From Rfam's summary of the family: Transfer RNA (tRNA) molecules are approximately 80 nucleotides in length. Their secondary structure includes four short double-helical elements and three loops (D, anti-codon, and T loops). RNAcentral also lists the same sequence under 6 other names. The record is from RNAcentral. Lineage: Bacteria; Pseudomonadati; Planctomycetota; Phycisphaerae; Phycisphaerales; Phycisphaeraceae.
GCGGGUGUAGCUCAGUUGGUAGAGCGUCAGCCUUCCAAGCUGAAUGUCGGGAGUUCGAGCCUCCUCGCCCGCU